Molecule: ribosomal RNA, 520 nt
Filed under: uncultured Glomeromycotina
Lineage: Eukaryota; Fungi; Glomeromycota
Description: SSU rRNA
Rfam family: Eukaryotic small subunit ribosomal RNA
Source: RNAcentral
AGCAGCCGCGGUAAUUCCAGCUCCAAUAGCGUAUAUUAAAGUUGCUGCAGUUAAAAAGCUCGUAGUUGAAUUUCGGGACCAUCACGUCGGUCGUGCCUCGGUACGUACUGGCGUCGUUGGUUUCUCCCUUCUGACGAACCAUGAUGUCAUUUAUUUGGUGUCGUGGGGAAUCAGGACUGUUACUUUGAAAAAAUUAGAGUGUUUAAAGCAGGCUCACGCUUGAAUACAUUAGCAUGGAAUAAUGAAAUAGGACGUUUGAUUCUAUUUUGUUGGUUUCUAGGAUCGACGUAAUGAUUAAUAGGGAUAGUUGGGGGCAUUAGUAUUCAAUUGUCAGAGGUGAAAUUCUUGGAUUUAUUGAAGACUAACUACUGCGAAAGCAUUUGCCAAGGAUGUUUUCAUUAAUCAGGAACGAAAGUUAGGGGAUCGAAGACGAUCAGAUACCGUCGUAGUCUUAACCAUAAACUAUGCCGACUAGGGAUCGGAUGAUGUUAAUUUUUAAUGUACUCAUUCGGCGCCUUAA